RNAcentral lists this ribosomal RNA (253 nucleotides) under uncultured bacterium. RNAcentral describes it as "partial 16S ribosomal RNA". It matches the Rfam family "Bacterial small subunit ribosomal RNA", at positions 524 to 776 of the family's 1533-position model. The record is from RNAcentral.
UACGUAGGGUGCAAGCGUUAAUCGGAAUUACUGGGCGUAAAGCGUGCGCAGGCGGUUUUGUAAGUCUGUCGUGAAAUCCCCGGGCUCAACCUGGAAAUUGCGAUGGAGACUGCAAGGCUAGAAUCUGGCAGAGGGGGGUAGAAUUCCACGUGUAGCAGUGAAAUGCGUAGAGAUGUGGAGGAACACCGAUGGCGAAGGCAGCCCCCUGGGUCAAGAUUGACGCUCAUGCACGAAAGCGUGGGGAGCAAACAGG